Cervus elaphus (red deer) is the source of this 4401-nucleotide long non-coding RNA. RefSeq lists it as uncharacterized. The record is from RefSeq and is a predicted model, not a curated record. The transcript is spliced from 3 exons. Lineage: Eukaryota; Metazoa; Chordata; Mammalia; Artiodactyla; Cervidae.
GGGACUGGAUGCCAUGGACUUAGUUUUCUGAAUGUUGAGUUUUAAGCCAGCUUUUUCACUCUCCUCUUUCACUUUCAUCAAGAGGCUCUUUAGUUCUUCUUCGCGCUCUGCCGUAAGGGUGGUGCGUUGAAAUAAAAUGGUGAAGUGUGGCUUUUGCAUUAAUCUCCGCCUCCAUACUUUUGUCAUAAUGAAACCUUGUAAAAAGAUAUGUUUAGUAUUUUAUUUUAUUUUGCAUACCAAUUUUAUUUAUUUUCAUUUAUUUUUAUUAGUUGGAGGCUAAUUACUUUACAAUAUUGUAGUGAUUUUUGCCAUACAUUGACAUGAAUCAGCCAUGGAUUUACAUGUGUUCCCCAUCCCAAUCCCCCCUCCCUAUGUUUAGUAUUUUAAUAACUAUAAACCAUCUUGAAUUGAUUCAUUUUGUUUCCUGAAGUGGUCCUCUGUUUGUUUUUACACUAAUGCUUGUAUGAUGACAUUUAUUCAGUACCUGCAGUGCCGGGGAUUGUCCUAGCAGCUGGGGGCAAGCUGCACGUGAGACCAGUCUUCACAGAGCUCACAUUCUCUCAGGUCUGAGAUUUCAGUGUGUUUUGGGGAAAAUGGAGUAAAGGUAAAUAAAGUUAGGUAGCUUUGUGUUUUAGGGCAUUCUUUGGUGUAAAAGAGAAAAACUUUUCUUGGUGUUCGAAACUUAUUUCUGGAAAUGUUUUUCCUGUGGAACCAAGAGAAAUACAGUAACCAUUAAAAAUCUUCUUCCUGUAUUACUGAUUUGACUGCAGUUUCAUGCCUUAAUGCUGCAGAAGUCUGCCUAGAAUGGCUUAUGAAUUAGGAAAUAAACAUAGCCAGGUAGUUCAUAUAGAAUAUAUAGAGAAUUUAUGAGAAUUCAGGCCCCGGAGACAGAUCUGCUUUGACUUCCCACUUGCACGGUUCUGUGCUUGUCUGACUUUGGACAAGUGUUCUCAUGUCUGAGUCACAGUUGACUCACCUGUAAAAUGAGAAUAAUAAGUAAUAAGAGUAUCAGCUUCAUGGCUUGUUAUUAGGGUUAGAUGACAUAAUUCAUGCAGAGUUCUCGAUACUUGGUGAGCGUCCAGUAAAGGCUAGAUUGUGAAAGCAGCUGUGAUCACUUCAGGACAUUGAGUCUGCUUCAGUGUUGUGGGUGCUGUGGAAAGCAUGGGACUCCGGGGUUCAGAGACCAGGGUGUGUGAUCGUCAGGGCACUACAGGCAGCAUCUUCAUAGCUGCGUUGGUUUCCUUUGCCCUUCAUUGCAUGGGGUGACACACAGGGCUUCAGUGUAGGCGGGUGCUGCCCACGUGGUGGAUUUGUGUCAUAGCUGAGAAACUUAGAGCGUAGGGCCCUGAAUCUUUCAUGAUGCUGCACAGAAGCCUGCCUGACCUUUUUCCAGAGGAAGAUCUGAGCUUUAUCAUGCUGGGUAGUAGAGAAGCCUACUCUUUGGGAGGAGGUACUGUCUUCCAGGGCUGUUGACUCUGUUGUACAUCCCCGGAAAGACUGUGUGAAAGCCCCCAGGGCCUGCACUGACCAAGCUGCAGAAAUGCCAGGACCCAUGGAGACUGGUCUGUCAGCAGGCCCCCAAGUCCCUGGUCUAAAGGAUGCCACAGCCUUCGCAGGGUAACGUUCAUGCACACAGCUGUUUAUUCUGGAGCUGCAUCCCAGAGACCUUUUCUGUUUCUGUAACGCUCCAUGCUGUAUUCAGGACCACGUAUCCUGAAGCAUUUGAUUCUCUUCUCAGUAAGCAGAUACUGUUGAACUCAAGUUGGUAUACAUGUUGAGGUGUUCAGGAGUUUUCGGUUAAGCCUUGGAAUGCAGGAAGAUAAGAUGGAUGGACACAGAUGGCUAGAUACCCAGUGUUACGUGCCUGGAAUACAUUUUUAGGUAAAGGAGUCAGGCUGUUCUCCCUAAGGACAGCCUUCCAGCAGCUCCUCCAGUCCUCACGUCAGACAGAACACCUACAUCUAAUUUUGUGAGAUUCUCAGAGUGUCUGUGACCCACGAAGUGUAACAGGUAUCUGCCUGAACCCGCUUCCAGCUAUAAAUCUGGUUUUUAUGCUUGUGGUCAUUAGUACUUAGUGAUUUUGCGUUUUAACCCAGAAGAUGGCUUUGGAAGCAACCCUUAUUGAGAGACUUGGUUAGAGGGACGCAGUGGUGCAGAAAACCUCAAAUUCAUUUGUUAAGUGGGUUUAUUACAGGUAAUUCUACAUUUCACUGAGGUUAACUUAUUCAGUUAAGAAUUUGGUUUUAGUGAAAUUUUUUUCUUUUGACAUGUUAUUUUCAUCUUUAGAUAGUUUGUAUUUUCAUGUCUAGAAAGAUCACAGUCUAUUAAUUGAAGAUUUAUAUUCCCUGAUGGGCAAUCAAAAAUGUGAGUACUGUUUCAGAAUUCAUAUGUUGAUGAAAAUGGACACAUGGUCAUUUAAAAAAUCAGUUUAAAAAACCAGUUAUUUUACCUUAUUUUGAAUAGUUGGUACUUUCCUCUAAAAUCAGGGACAUUUUAGAAAUUGAAUUUAAGGGGCUUCCUUGGUGGCUCAGAUGGUAAAGAAAUUGAAUUUAAAAUGACAAGGUUACAUAAUUAUGUUAUGAAAAUAUAGGAUUGUUCUAAAUUAAGAUUUGUAAAAUGUUAGCUAUUUUACUAAGAAACUUCUGAAAACAGACUUUUAAAAAUUAUACUUUGCGCUAAUCUUAAAAUCCUAGUUGAAAUAAUAACAUAAAAAUUGACACAUUCUCAGGUACCUGUAGUAACUUGUGGAUUUUGAGAAUGUUAGGAAAUGGGAUCUGUCUAAGAUUCAUAGUUUUACCAGUGGAUUCACGUGGGAGAAUGCACAGCUGGGGGCUCUCCCCUUGACUCCCUGGGUGGGGGUGUGGGGAUGGGGUGGUCAGGUGCUUGUCAAAGCCUGCAAGCAGUAGUAGUGCUGGGAGGAGCAGCAAGGAUGUGAGAUAAUACGCAAAUACAAUGAGUGACUUGACCGUGAAAUUAAAACGAGCUGUCCAAGAGAUUGUAGUUCUUGUGUAUAUUGUAUAUAUUAAAAAAGAAAGCCUACUUGUUAAUUUAAAUGCCUAUUUCAUGGUAAAAAUUUUUUUAUAACUGGUUCUCUGCCUUUUUUGUGUUUUCUUCUAAUGUUCUCUUGUUUCUAGCUCCUUCUUCUCAUCCCAGUUCCAAAUCUUUGUUAGAAAAUAUAACUCAAAAACUUUUAAGCACAGAGUAGAAUUAAUUUAUCUCCUUGGACUUGAAGUAAGUGCUUUUUCCUGGCCUUUCAUUUGAAGUCUCUCUUUUCCUCUCCCCUUAUCAGUUUGGUCUACUUUCUACCCGGCCCUCCUCACACUGUCCUUGAUUUGUCUGUGGGUGUUGUUCCCCUUCAAGCCUUUGUCUUAGAUAAUUUCCCACUACUCAGCAAAAUGGGAAACUAUUUGGCAGAGUUGGGGAAUUUUCUGUCUUUUCUCAGUCUGGAAUCCUUACUAGAAACAUUUUAAAGCAUACUAGAAAUAUUUUACAGUUUUAAAAGACAUGUUUACUCUGGUUUAUUUAAUUUCAGCCUUGAACUUUGAUUUCAGACUUCUAAAGUUUUUUUUUUUUUUUUCAUUUAGAAACCACUUAAAAUUGCUUUUGGGUUAGGGAGAAGUGUGUGGUUGUUGCUUCUCAUUGGGACAUAUUUUUUAAGUUUUAUCUUCUGUCUCCAAAUUAACCGGUAUCAGUUUAUUGUCUAAAUCUGCAUAAAAUGUCUUUAGGCUUUUCUUGAACCAAGAACUGUACUGUUUCUCCGCACUCCAGUUUACCCCCCUUUUUUUAAAAAAACAAUGGUUUUAGAUUUACUUAUUCAGGCAGGAGUACAUCACCGUUUUGGUUUCUUUGUUUUGCAAUUUUAUGUUUGGGUGUUGAACCAAAGCUUAAAAAUACCUUUGUAUGUAGAGCAUUUGACACAGUUACCUUAGUAAAAAUGUGACCAACAUGAGUGAAAGGAGCCAGUGAGGGGAUCAAAGCUGAUGGAGGUGGGGCGGGACCACCUGUCUCCCAGCCUGCUGUCUUCAGGUGGAGAGACUUUGUCCUUGGCUCGGUCAGGUGAGUCUGAAGACAGGCUCUGGUUUGCAGAGCACUGGAGAACCGAUCUUUUCAGUAAUGCGGUAAGCAUGUACUGGGAGAAUACAGUUUGGGGUUUAUUUCGUAAGUUGUGAAACUUUCAGAACACAUUUUACGUGAUGGAAACAAGAAAAGUUCGAGUAGGGAUUUUAUGGGUUGGUUAGGAACAAAGGAGAGAACACAGCCCCUUUGUGAGUCCCUACCUGUAUGUGUACUUCAGUACACACUUUACGUAAAGUCGAGGUUAUGUUUCUCCAGUUUUGGAUUCUGUGUUUGUGUGGGUGUGACUCCAAUUAACAUUUUUUCCCGUUUUUGUUUUUUAAAAUC